Molecule: non-coding RNA, 129 nt
Organism: Helianthus annuus (common sunflower)
Lineage: Eukaryota; Viridiplantae; Streptophyta; Magnoliopsida; Asterales; Asteraceae
Source: Rfam
GUGUUCGUAAGAAGGAGAGAUGGUUGGCAUCUCCCCCGACAGGGAUGGGAACAGCUUUCGAGCUUGCUUGUUAGGACACAUCUGCUUAAGAGGCUACCCACUUUGGGGGAUCUAUAACCCAAUUUUUUU